GACAAGAAAUAACAAUACAGGGCUUUCGUCUUGUAAUUGGAAUGAUGGUGAUGUACAACCUCACCAGAGUACCAAUUGGAGGGCAAGUCUGGUGCCAGCAGCCGCGGUAAUUCCAGCUCCAAUAGCGUAUAUUAAACUUGUUGCAGUUAAAAAGCUCGUAGUUGUAUUUCAGCCUCGCGUUUUUUCCCUCUUUUCGGGUCUUUUCGCUGGCUUUGUUUUUACUUUGAGAAAAUUAGAGUGUUUCAAGCAGACUUUUGUCUUGAAUACCUCAGCAUGGAAUAAUAGAGUAGGACCUUGGUUCUAUUUUGUUGGUUUCGAGCCUUGGUAAUGGUUAAUAGGAACGGUUGGGGGCA
Molecule: ribosomal RNA, 353 nt
Filed under: Babesia bigemina
Lineage: Eukaryota; Apicomplexa; Aconoidasida; Piroplasmida; Babesiidae
Description: SSU rRNA
Rfam family: Eukaryotic small subunit ribosomal RNA
Source: RNAcentral